RNAcentral lists this non-coding RNA (151 nucleotides) under uncultured Mallomonas. Lineage: Eukaryota; Synurophyceae; Synurales; Mallomonadaceae. The record is from RNAcentral.
AGAAAGAGACAGAGAAAAAUAAAGAAAUAAAGACAGAAACAGAAGAGAAAGAGAGAGAAGAGAUAUCAUCCCACUCUCCCUCUCUUUCUCUCUCUCUCUCUCUUCUGUCAUGUUAUUCUCAUUCUUCUCAUUACUCUCAUUCUUCUGAUUA